CUGGCCAUUGAUAAAGUGGGAUGAAAUCAUUUAAGAGAUAAUUAUUAAAUAUUCAUCCUCCCAUAACACAUUUUCCUUUAAGAAUUUUUCACAUUAUGAACUUUAUAGUUUAAGUUACAUGUUUACAAAAUGUUUGCCUCCGUAGUUCAUCAUAUAAGAGCUAGCUAGUGUUAUUGUUAGCUAAUCGUCGUUGUUAUCUUAUUGAUUUUGUCUGAAAUAAUAUCGUGUUUAAAACGUGAAACGUAUGAUAUGUGUUUGAUAUCUUAAACAAUAAAGCUGGUGCCAUGUAACGUUAUAGGAAUAGUAACUCUAAGCAAUAUUUAGCUAACUUUUAAUUAUUUAUUUACGUUAAGUAUUUAAUUUAACGCUAAGUAAAUGGACUGUAUUUGCGCCUUUCUAGUCUUCCGACCACUCAAAGCGCUUCACACUACAUCACAUUCACACACUGAUUGCAGAUGCAAAAGAAACUAACUCAUUCACACACACUUAAGGAACAGCCCUCUGGAGCAAUUUGGGGUUCAGUAUCUUGCCCAAGAUACUGAGCGACAUGUGGGCUGGAGGAAGCCGGGAUCAAACCUCCAACCUUCCGAUUAAUGGAUGACCCGCGCUACGACUAAACCACAGCCGCCCUUAGAGGCCCUGAAAAAGUUCUUGUUUAUGUUUAAGUCCUGUCAGUGUGGGCAGCAGCACAGACCAAGACAGCACAUGCCAAAAUGAGUGUGAUGACAAGGCUGAUGGGUCCUGUGAUGUGUGCUACCUCUGAUUGCCUAUGGUGCUAAGUGUUGUGAAACUCCAUAUGGAAAUGUGUUGUUUUUUUAAGAGCACUAUUUUGGUAUGAGAAGAUGAUGUGAGCAUGGCAGUGUAGUGUAUGGCUCCCCCAAGUGGUCAAACUAUGUUGUGAGCAUCAGAAUGUUGCUAUUAAAGUAAUCAGUAUAGAUAGUAUAGAUUUAUAAAUAAAGUUUAUUCACCACAGCACACUUACUCUUCAUUUAGUGCCCUGCUGAUGUGAAUGCAGAAGAAAGACAAGAUCCCUUUACUGGUUUCUCUUAUUGAAUGUGUUUGUAUAGCAUGUACCACUAUUUACUGUGAGCACAAAUGUCAUUUUGUGUAUCACAAUAACUUCUUUAAUCAUUUUUGUGAUGUGUGGUGUCACCCUACUAAAAGGGGAAUAUGACAAAGUUAGAUUAAACUAUAUUUCCAUUUGAGCAUUAACAUCUGAGGGUUGUCUUAAUAUAUAUUUGUUAAUGAUAGUACUAAGUACCUCCUCAAAACUCACCUAUUCAUUCAUGAAUCUAUGGUCUUUUAUGUUAUCCCUUUUUGUGUAAAGCGUCCUUGGGUCCCUUGAAAGGUGCUAUAUAAAUCUAAGUUAUUAUUAUUAUUAAGGAUCAAGGAAAUUAUUUUCACGUAAUAUUUUAUGUACUCUUCAGCAGAGCGGCGCCUAAAACUUCUGCCAAGCCAUUUUAGGGAAACUGGUUGCAACAAUAUACAGUAGAUGCAGCCUGACAGUUCCAUCAUAAACCACAGACGUCAUGUUUGACUUUCAUUUUAGAAAUAUAUCAAAUAAUUCAAGACACUGCCAGUACAGAAAGGACAGAGUCUUCCAGCAGAGGCAUACAUACACCAUAAUACAUCAAUUCUGAAAUCAGAAAAAAAACACAUUGGUCACCAGCUGCAAUACGUAUCGUCUAUGUAUGUAGAUCUUUAAGAUUUUCUUUGUAUAUGAUUACAAGUACGAACGCAGUCCCUCUCUACCAGAAAUUAUGCAGUCGAGAUUCACAGGAGUCUACAGUAUGGCUCACCCCCAUUCAAAGCAAAUGUUGCAGAGACUGUUAUCAUCUGUAUGUAUUCCAUGUGUGUAUGAUAUUGGCCAUUUGAGAUUUAAAUACAUGACAUAAAUUAUGUAGCAUUUGCCUACAAAUAUA
Siniperca chuatsi (mandarin fish) is the source of this 1922-nucleotide long non-coding RNA. RefSeq lists it as uncharacterized. NCBI's taxonomy places the organism in Eukaryota, Metazoa, Chordata, Actinopteri, Centrarchiformes, Sinipercidae. The transcript has 4 exons. The record is from RefSeq and is a predicted model, not a curated record.